Molecule: long non-coding RNA, 1916 nt
Organism: Topomyia yanbarensis
Lineage: Eukaryota; Metazoa; Arthropoda; Insecta; Diptera; Culicidae
Exons: 5
Source: RefSeq, a predicted model, not a curated record
ACAAACAACAAAUAAUCAGCUGGUCAGAAACGUCUAAUGGAACGUUUAAUUCUAGUUUCUAGAGCUUAGCCUUUUUAUAUAGUUAACUGUAAUCGUUGUUCGGUUGUUUAAUAUGUAGAUAGUAUAAUAUGUUGUUACCUUAGCAAUUCAGCUUUAAAUCUUAAUUAUUUUUACUGUGAAAGGAAGUGCAAUUUACCGGAAAGUAGAUUCUGUUUCGUCUUCAUUUGGGAUAAUAGUUAACUGCAAUAUUACAAUAACAUGGAUAAUAUCAACAACCUUCCGUUAGAGCUGUUAGAACAUAUUUUCGACUACCUCAGUGUUGGCGAACGAAAAAAUGUGUACACUGUUUGCAGCUUGUGGUACAGUAUUUUACACGAUUCCAACGCCAAUGUCAGACAUCACUUACUGGCACUUUCGAAGACGACCUGAAUGAUUUGGAAAAACGAGUUCUUCGGUGUUUUCGAAAUCUUUCAAUAACUCACUGGGACGUUCUGGAUGACGACGAAGAAAUGGAGCAGGAUGCAAAUGAACAAGAAAAAGAUGAUGUCAUACAGUUGAAGUACCUUUACGAACCAACACCAGAGCAACGUCUGUCCGAGCUUCUAAUUGGAUUGGAAGAUCUCGAGGGUCUGGAACUAUUUAGUUCUUUUGAAAGUUGCCGACAGAUUCUCGAGAAUAUUUUAUCUCGAUUUACGAAUUUACGUGAGCUUUUUUUCUUCUUCGGCCAAUCGCGAAGUCAAACGCAAGAUUCAACACUUUGGAUCAUCCGACAUCGUCGAAUAGAAACGCUUAAAAUAGACGGUGCGAGCAAACCUUUUGAAGCAAUAGUACCGAAUUUAACUUGUCUAGAGCUACUAUCAAAUUGUCGCUGGAGCUAUCAGAUAAUUGAGACAUACUGCAGGCAGUUGCAAUCUCUGAAAGCUGAUUUUCAAGACGCAGAAACUAUGGACAAUAUUAUUUCGCUGUCUUUUCCUUGUCUAACUGUUUUGCAGGUUCGAAUGUCUGAUGACAAAGAAAUAUAGGUUCGAUACGCUCGAACCCGCAAUAAGUACGAAGAUGAGGAAAAGGAGGAACAAUUUGUUAUAGGAAUGCCAAGACUGAAAAAUCUACAAAUCGAAAGCAAUCUAAUGCUUUUUCGAAUUGGACCAGCCCUUUCAAAAUUUGCUAAUCAACUUGUCGAGUUAAACUUGGAAGACCUGCAUAUUGAUUUAGCACAAAUUAAAGUUAUCGAAAUGAUGUUACAGAUUAAGACACUCAGCAUACAGCGCUGCCAGAUACUAACGCCAUCCCAAUCUCUAGUAUCGCUGAAUUUACCACACCUGAGGAGUCUUGUUUUGAUUAGCAACGAACCUGAUAUUUCGUUCAUAAGUGGUCUCUCAGGACUUCAAUCGUUGAAGGUGUCAGUUUGUUCAUUGAGAAACCACAAAGUGUUGCAUAAAAUAUGUAACAACUUGUCAAAUCUGGAACAUCUAGAAAUACUCACAUACAGAACGAUGUGUAAUACAGCUCUUCGAUAUCUGCAUAAACUGACCAAGCUAAGAUCGUUAAUAUUUAAAGAAUGCGUACCAAAGACACGGCUUUGGGUGCACUGUUCGGUGACACCUAAUCUCCGGAGGGUAGUUUUCAACAGUUGCACUCUGAAUACAUCCACGCUUCGACCUCUGGCAACAUUAUUUCCCGGUCUCAGUGAACUCUUCCUAGAUGGAUGCUACGUAGAAUGCUGUGAUGAAGAAAUCUGUACGAACAAUGAAAGUGAGUGCCUUUCGGAUAUGGACACCGAGGGUAAGAGCAUGUGUUUGCAGCAAUUAAAAACGCUUUUUCCGCUGCACACGAUCUCGUUGAACGAAUCCUCGUUGUGCUGGAAGUAUUGUUGAUAUCUGUGUUGCUUUAGGGAAUAAAAUCAGUCGAACAAUCAA